RNAcentral lists this long non-coding RNA (1068 nucleotides) under Castor canadensis (American beaver). RNAcentral's name for it is "lncRNA (ENSCCNG00000018553.1)". Lineage: Eukaryota; Metazoa; Chordata; Mammalia; Rodentia; Castoridae. The record is from RNAcentral.
CUUUGCAUGGUUUUGGGAUGAGUGUAAUACUGAAUACCAUUGCUUUAGUCCAAUCUUUUUGUAUGAAUCCAUUCCCAGUGAAAUCGGUGAGCUAUCCUCAAAUCUUUGUGAUUGGGUCUCAAAUGCCAGUAAGGAAGUGAUAAAAUGGCAUGUGCCAAAAAUAAACUUGUCUCUCUCUCUUUUUCCUUUUUUGCUUUUCUUUCUUUUUUAAAAUUUUUAUUAGGAAAUAUUCACUAUACAGGGGGGAUUUGUAGUGACAAUUCUGAUUAGACUUAUAUUGUACAUUAUUUACAUUGCCCCCAUUGGCUCUCCCCCUAAACUUAUCUCUCUAUUCUUAAGGAGCCAUUAUACUCUGGAUGGCUGUGGCUCUCGUAAGUUUUGCUAUGUGUGGACACAAUCCUUGUGACUAAACUAUCAAAGCUACUAUGUUUUUGAUGUUGCUGUGUUUAUUUUUAUAAACAUUUCUAUCUUUAUUUUUCUUAACAUUCAGUAUACCUCAUAAUACCACCCUGGAAGAAAUUAUGAUGAUACAUAUACACAACUGAAAAAUGCCACUAAUUCUAGUUAUGGAAUAAGUGAAGUUUAUCUAAUAUUUAAUUCAGGAAGAAAGCUCACAUUGUUGGUGUGGUUUUAUUACUCCAUACCCUCUUUUGUCCACAGGGACCAGGGAUCAUGCUCUGGGUAUCUCAUUGCCUGAAGCACUGGAGCUUUCAUGAGUUCUGACUGCACUGACUUAAGCAGAACCAGUUUUAGGGAGCCACCACAAACUGUCAUGUGGAGAUUAUGGAGCCAAAGAGUCCUUCCCACUGAGAACACCAGACAUCACUUGGUGGAAGAAAGUUUGUGGUUACCAUGAAGAUUAGGAGCGAUUGCAGGUCUGCUUGACCUCUUUCCUUCACUGCAGGUACCUCAUUCUAAUAACAUCCCAAGUUGCUUCCCAGGAGAGUCUGUCCUUUGAUAUGUGUCAUUUUUUUUUGGCAGUACUGAGGCUUAAACUCAGGGCCUCACGUUUGCCGGGCAGGCACUGUACCACUUCAGCCACUCCACCAGUCCUGAUAUGUGACUUUA